UUCGGUUAAGUCCGCUAACGAGCGCAACCCUCGCUGUGUGUUACAAGUGUCACACGGAACUGCCGGUCAUAAACCGGAGGAAGGUGGGGAUGACGUCAAGUCAGCAUGGCCUUUAUAUCCUGGGCUACACACACGCUACAAUGGGAAGGGACAAUAGGUUGCGAAGCCGCGAGGCGGAGCCAAUCCAGCAAAACUUCCCUCAGUUCAGAUUGCAGGCUGCAACUCGCCUGCAUGAAGUUGGAGUUGCUAGUAACCGCAGGUCAGCCAUACUGCGUUGAAUACGUUCCCGGGGCUU
RNAcentral lists this ribosomal RNA (295 nucleotides) under uncultured Anaerolineaceae bacterium. Its description in RNAcentral is "partial 16S ribosomal RNA". It matches the Rfam family "Bacterial small subunit ribosomal RNA", at positions 1074 to 1382 of the family's 1533-position model. Lineage: Bacteria; Bacillati; Chloroflexota; Anaerolineae; Anaerolineales; Anaerolineaceae. The record is from RNAcentral.